Molecule: ribosomal RNA, 465 nt
Filed under: Clostridioides sp. ZZV14-6104
Lineage: Bacteria; Bacillati; Bacillota; Clostridia; Peptostreptococcales; Peptostreptococcaceae
Description: bacterial SSU rRNA
Rfam family: Bacterial small subunit ribosomal RNA
Source: RNAcentral
CCUACGGGUGGCAGCAGUGGGGAAUAUUGCACAAUGGGCGCAAGCCUGAUGCAGCCAUGCCGCGUGUAUGAAGAAGGCCUUCGGGUUGUAAAGUACUUUCAGCGGGGAGGAAGGGAGUAAAGUUAAUACCUUUGCUCAUUGACGUUACCCGCAGAAGAAGCACCGGCUAACUCCGUGCCAGCAGCCGCGGUAAUACGGAGGGUGCAAGCGUUAAUCGGAAUUACUGGGCGUAAAGCGCACGCAGGCGGUUUGUUAAGUCAGAUGUGAAAUCCCCGGGCUCAACCUGGGAACUGCAUCUGAUACUGGCAAGCUUGAGUCUCGUAGAGGGGGGUAGAAUUCCAGGUGUAGCGGUGAAAUGCGUAGAGAUCUGGAGGAAUACCGGUGGCGAAGGCGGCCCCCUGGACGAAGACUGACGCUCAGGUGCGAAAGCGUGGGGAGCAAACAGGAUUAGAUACCCUAGUAGUC